RNAcentral lists this ribosomal RNA (519 nucleotides) under uncultured Glomus. RNAcentral describes it as "SSU rRNA". It matches the Rfam family "Eukaryotic small subunit ribosomal RNA", at positions 569 to 1089 of the family's 1831-position model. Lineage: Eukaryota; Fungi; Glomeromycota; Glomeromycetes; Glomerales; Glomeraceae. The record is from RNAcentral.
AGCAGCCGCGGUAAUUCCAGCUCCAAUAGCGUAUAUUAAAGUUGUUGCAGUUAAAAAGCUCGUAGUUGAAUUUCGGGGUCAGUAGAUUGGUCGUGCCACUGGUAUGUACUGGUCUUACUGGCUCCUCCUUCCUGAUGAACCGUAAUGUCAUUAAUUUGGUGUUGCGGGGAAUCAGGACUGUUACUUUGAAAAAAUUAGAGUGUUUAAAGCAGGCAAGCGCUUGAAUACAUUAGCAUGGAAUAAUGAAAUAGGACGUUCGAUCCUAUUUUGUUGGUUUCUAGGAUUGACGUAAUGAUUAAUAGGGAUAGUUGGGGGCAUUAGUAUUCAAUUGUCAGAGGUGAAAUUCUUGGAUUUAUUGAAGACUAACUACUGCGAAAGCAUUUGCCAAGGAUGUUUUCAUUAAUCAAGAACGAAAGUUAGGGGAUCGAAGACGAUCAGAUACCGUCGUAGUCUUAACCAUAAACUAUGCCGACUAGGGAUCGGAUGAUGUUAACUUUUAAAUGACUCAUUCGGCACCUU